AAUCAACGCUGACGGCGUGCCUAACACAUGCAAGUCGAACGCGAAAGCCCCGCAAGGGGUAAGUAGAGUGGCAAACGGGUGAGUAACGCGUGGGUGACCUGCCUCCGAGCGGGGGAUAACGUCCCGAAAGGGACGCUAAUACCGCAUAACAUCCUGCUUUUUAACAAGCGGAGAUCAAAGCUGGGGAUCGCAAGACCUAGCACUCGAAGAGGGGCCCGCGUCUGAUUAGCUAGUGGUGGGGUAACGGCUCACCAAGGCGACGAUCAGUAUCCGGCCUGAGAGGGCGGACGGACACACUGGGACUGAGACACGGCCCAGACUCCUACGGGAGGCAGCAGUGGGGAAUUGUUCGCAAUGGGCGCAAGCCUGACGACGCAACGCCGCGUGGAGGAUGAAGACCU
This 401-nucleotide ribosomal RNA is filed under the name uncultured bacterium. RNAcentral describes it as "bacterial SSU rRNA". It matches the Rfam family "Bacterial small subunit ribosomal RNA", at positions 29 to 417 of the family's 1533-position model. The record is from RNAcentral.